UGAUAGGCAAUGACAGGACAUAGUAAUGUUUCAUUUCGUCGUUUCAGAGAGCUGAUGGUUGGUGCGAAUCAGUACAGAAUGAUCCAUGAAAUACACCCUCGAGCUUCUUUUGUGAACCUUUUUAGUAGCAAAAGACGGAUUCUCCGUUAUUUUAAUGAAGACGUGAAAACGAUUCUGGUUUCACAAGUUAGGGUGGUACCGCGACACGUUCGCCCCUGCA
This 220-nucleotide non-coding RNA is filed under the name Bacillus sp. (in: firmicutes). Its description in RNAcentral is "Bacillus sp. T-box sequence". It matches the Rfam family "T-box leader". From Rfam's summary of the family: Uncharged tRNA acts as the effector for transcription antitermination of genes in the T-box leader family. T-boxes are found upstream of many aminoacyl-tRNA synthetase genes and some amino acid biosynthetic genes usually in Gram-positive bacteria. The record is from RNAcentral. RNAcentral also lists the same sequence under 1 other name. Lineage: Bacteria; Bacillati; Bacillota; Bacilli; Caryophanales; Bacillaceae.